This is a regulatory RNA element of Mobilicoccus pelagius NBRC 104925, 132 nucleotides long. It matches the Rfam family "ALIL pseudoknot". The record is from Rfam. NCBI's taxonomy places the organism in Bacteria, Bacillati, Actinomycetota, Actinomycetes, Micrococcales, Dermatophilaceae.
UGCCUAUUUCGCUCAGGCGGAGCUCGACCGCCGACCGUAGACGUCGAUGCGUUCAUUGCCGCGCACCGCGACGAGCAUGGGGUCGAGCCGAUCUGCGAGGUCCUGAAAGAGACUGGAAUCCCGAUCGCCCCA